This 253-nucleotide ribosomal RNA is filed under the name uncultured bacterium. Its description in RNAcentral is "partial 16S ribosomal RNA". It matches the Rfam family "Bacterial small subunit ribosomal RNA", at positions 524 to 776 of the family's 1533-position model. The record is from RNAcentral.
UACGGAGGGUGUAAGCGUUAUCCGGAUUUAUUGGGUUUAAAGGGUGCCUAGGCGGCUGUCUAAGUCCGUGGUGAAAGGCUCCAGCUCAACUGGAGCAGUGCCAUGGAUACUGGACAGCUUGAGUGCAGUUGAGGUAGGCGGAAUUUAUGGUGUAGCGGUGAAAUGCAUAGAUACCAUAAAGAACACCGAUAGCGAAGGCAGCCUACUAAAGUGUAACUGACGCUGAGGUGCGAAAGCGUGGGGAGCAAACAGG